UACAGAGGUGGCAAGCGUUGUUCGGAAUUACUGGGCGUAAAGGGCUCGUAGGCGGCCAACUAAGUCAGACGUGAAAUCCCCAGGCUCAACCUGGGAACUGCGUCUGAUACUGGAUGGCUUGAAUUCGGGAGAGGGAUGCAGAAUUCCAGGUGUAGCGGUGAAAUGCGUAGAUAUCUGGAGGAAUACCGGUGGCGAAGGCGGCAUCCUGGACCGACAUUGACGCUGAGGAGCGAAAGCUAGGGGAGCAAACGGG
Molecule: ribosomal RNA, 253 nt
Filed under: uncultured bacterium
Lineage: Bacteria
Description: partial 16S ribosomal RNA
Rfam family: Bacterial small subunit ribosomal RNA
Source: RNAcentral